AUUGUCAUAGACAGCUGUCCUCGAGGAGUUUCCGAUGAGACGAUCAUCAGGGGCCACCCAGUGAAUGAUGGGAGUGGGAUCCCCAAUGGCUUUGCACUUCAGCGUGGCAGUUUGCCCUUCCAAGACCAGCAGCUUUGUUUUGCCUAACAUCUACCUCCAGAGAGACUUUGUGAUGCCUCCCUUCAGGAGUCACACCUAAAAGCAUCAGCCCUCCUAGAUGGGACAGUUAUGUGUUAUAAAAACAUUAUAAAAACUCUUUUCUUUCUUUCUUUCUUUCUUUCUUUCUUUCUUUCUUUCUUUCUUUCUUUCUUUCUUUCUUUCUUUCUUUCUUUCUUUCUUUCUUUCUUUCUUUCUUUCUUUCUUUCUUUCUUUCUUUCUUUCCUUUCUUUCUUCUUUCUUUCCUCUCUUUCUCUCUCUUUCUCUCUUUCCCUCUUUCCCUCUUUCUUUCUUCUACCACAGAUUACAAGGCUUAUUAAAAAUCCUGAAAGAUUU
Molecule: long non-coding RNA, 492 nt
Organism: Passer domesticus (house sparrow)
Lineage: Eukaryota; Metazoa; Chordata; Aves; Passeriformes; Passeridae
Exons: 2
Source: RefSeq, a predicted model, not a curated record